RNAcentral lists this ribosomal RNA (465 nucleotides) under uncultured bacterium. RNAcentral describes it as "partial 16S ribosomal RNA". It matches the Rfam family "Bacterial small subunit ribosomal RNA", at positions 28 to 507 of the family's 1533-position model. The record is from RNAcentral.
GACGAACGCUGGCGGGCUUCUUAACUGAAAGAAGUCCAGCAAAGAGCCGCUUCUUUGGGGGGCUGCUGUGGUGAACAGGUGAGUAACAAGAGAGUAACAUGCUCCCGUUUACUUUAUAAUUUCUUCAGAAAAGUGGGAAUACUGCCUAGGAGCAGCUGCUGCUUGGUGGUGGGUGGAGAAUUUUGGCGGUUGGGGAUGGACUCGCGGCUUCUCAGCUUGUUGGUGGGGUAGUGGCUUACCACGGCUUUGACGGGUAGCCGGCCUGAGAGGGUGACCGGCCACAUUGGGACUGAGAUACGGCCCAGACUCCUACGGGAGGCAGCAGUGGGGAAUAUUGCACAAUGGGCGGAAGCCUGAUGCAGCAACGCCGCGUGCGGGAUGACGGCCUUCGGGUUGUAAACCGCUUUCGCCUGUGACGAAGCGUGAGUGACGGUAAUGGGUAAAGAAGCACCGGCUAACUACGUG